AGCGCAGGCGGAACAGUCAGUCUGAAGUGGAAGCCCGGGGCUCAACCUCGGAAGGUCUUCGGAUACUACUGUUCUUGAGUACGUGAGAGGAAGGCGGAAUUCAGGGUGUAGCGGUGAAAUGCUUAGAUAUCCUGAGGAACACCAAUGGCGAAAGCAGCCUUCUGGCACGACACUGACGCUGAGGCUCGAAAGCGUGGGGAGCGAACG
This 207-nucleotide ribosomal RNA is filed under the name uncultured bacterium. RNAcentral describes it as "partial 16S ribosomal RNA". It matches the Rfam family "Bacterial small subunit ribosomal RNA", at positions 568 to 774 of the family's 1533-position model. The record is from RNAcentral.